GCCAGGCAUGGUGAGGCAUGCCUGUAGUCCCAGCUACUUGGGAGGCUGAGGCAGGAGAAUCACUUGAACCCAGGAGGUGGAGGUUGCAGUGAGCCGAGAUUGCGCCAGUGCACUCCAGCCUGGGUGACAGAGUGAGACUCUGUCUCAA
This is an unclassified non-coding RNA of Pongo abelii (Sumatran orangutan), 148 nucleotides long. It matches the Rfam family "Metazoan signal recognition particle RNA". From Rfam's summary of the family: The signal recognition particle (SRP) is a universally conserved ribonucleoprotein. Lineage: Eukaryota; Metazoa; Chordata; Mammalia; Primates; Hominidae. The record is from Ensembl.